UACGGGGGGGGCAAGCGUUGUUCGGAAUUACUGGGCGUAAAGGGCUCGUAGGCGGCCAACUAAGUCAGACGUGAAAUCCCUCGGCUUAACCGGGGAACUGCGUCUGAUACUGGAUGGCUUGAAUCCGGGAGAGGGAUGCGGAAUUCCAGGUGUAGCGGUGAAAUGCGUAGAUAUCGAGAGGAACACCAGUGGCGAAGGCGAGUCCCUGGACAACUCCUGACGCUGAGGCACGAAAGCUAGGGGAGCAAACAGG
This 253-nucleotide ribosomal RNA is filed under the name uncultured bacterium. RNAcentral describes it as "partial 16S ribosomal RNA". It matches the Rfam family "Bacterial small subunit ribosomal RNA", at positions 524 to 776 of the family's 1533-position model. The record is from RNAcentral.